GGCCUUCGGGCGCUGACGAGUGGCGGACGGGUGAGUAAUGCAUGGGAAUCUGCCUGAUAGUGGGGGACAACCUGGGGAAACUCAGGCUAAUACCGCAUAAGCCCUACGGGGGAAAGCAGGGGAUCUUCGGACCUUGCGCUAACAGAUGAGCCCAUGUCGGAUUAGCUAGUUGGUAGGGUAAAGGCCUACCAAGGCGACGAUCCGUAGCUGGUCUGAGAGGACGACCAGCCACACUGGGACUGAGACACGGCCCAGACUCCUACGGGAGGCAGCAGUGGGGAAUUUUGGACAAUGGGGGCAACCCUGAUCCAGCCAUGCCGCGUGUGUGAAGAAGGCCUUCGGGUUGUAAAGCACUUUCGGACGGAACGAAAUCGCACGGGUGAAUAUCCCGUGUGGAUGACGGUACUGUAAGAAGAAGCACCGGCUAACUACGUGCCAGCAGCCGCGGUAAUACGUAGGGUGCGAGCGUUAAUCGGAAUUACUGGGCGUAAAGCGUGCGCAGGCGGCUUCGCAAGUCAGACGUGAAAUCCCCGGGCUUAACCUGGGAAUGGCGUUUGAAACUACGGAGCUGGAGUGUGGCAGAGG
Molecule: ribosomal RNA, 585 nt
Filed under: uncultured beta proteobacterium
Lineage: Bacteria; Pseudomonadati; Pseudomonadota; Betaproteobacteria
Description: bacterial SSU rRNA
Rfam family: Bacterial small subunit ribosomal RNA
Source: RNAcentral